CUUGAUUUCAUAUAUAACGAUAGACUAAAGUAAUCUUCGGUACGCCGAAGAUUUAAUGCUCUUGCAGACAUUCGCCUCAUAUUGUGUCCAUGAUGACGACUUGGAUGAUGCUGUUGGUGGUCAUCUGGCAAAUUAUGAUUUUUCACUUUAUUUCUGUGCCCUUCGACUAUGAAAAAGUUUGUUACAAUUACAA
Drosophila virilis is the source of this 193-nucleotide non-coding RNA. Lineage: Eukaryota; Metazoa; Arthropoda; Insecta; Diptera; Drosophilidae. The record is from RefSeq and is a predicted model, not a curated record.